Abrus precatorius (Indian licorice) is the source of this 3379-nucleotide RNA transcript. RefSeq lists it as uncharacterized. The record is from RefSeq and is a predicted model, not a curated record. The transcript is spliced from 7 exons. Lineage: Eukaryota; Viridiplantae; Streptophyta; Magnoliopsida; Fabales; Fabaceae.
UGGUCAAGUGAGUUCCCUCUUCCCUCUUGUGAAGGAAGAGAGGAGUAACACUGCAUGCAUAAUUGCAUAUCAUGUGUCACAUCAAAUGUCACGUGAAAGAAGAAUGACAUUUAUGAAGGAAGAGAGAGACUGUCUGCGCAACUUCAUCACACAACUCAAAAUCCAGCGUCUACUCUACUCUGUUUAUGAUAUUGUGAUAAUAACAAAACAAGAAAAUAUGCAAAGGCAAGGUGACACUGUGUUCCUUGAGGAUUGGCUGAAGCGCAGGUCUGGUGCCGACCCUAACAAACCCCCCCCACCCAACGCCAGAGCCAUCGUUCAGGCAUGGGCCGACCUCCGAGCCUCCCUCCAAUCCUCUUCCUUCGCUCAACAGCACCUCUACCAUCUCAACACCUUAGUCAAUUCCCAAGCCUCUCUCCAUGUUGCCGAACCCCAGGCUCGCCUUCUCCUCGCCAUUCUCCAAUCUCCCAACCUCUCUCUCCCACGCCACUCCUUUCCUCUAUUCUUCAGACUCCUUUACGUUUGGGCGCGAAAAGCCGCAAACCCUAACCCUGCCGUUAUCGAUUCCGCGGUUGAGGUUCUCUCUCGUGUCAUUUUCUCUUCUCAGUUGGAUUAUUGCACUCCGAUGUUUUUCUCUGAAGCGAUUCUACUUUUGGGUGCGUUUUCUUUUGUGCAUUCUUUGUCUGAAAGAACUAAGACGCUGUGUUUGGACAUGUUAUGUAAAGUGUUGAUAGAUAGGGGUGAGAUAUUAGGUUCCUUUGUGCCUGAUGUGCUGGCUGGGAUUGGGUAUGCUUUAUCGUCUUCUGUGGAUGUUCAUUGUGUGAAAUUAUUGGGUUCUAUGUUUGGGAUUUGGGGUAAGGUAAAUGGGCCUCGAGGUAGUGUUGUUGAUGGGCUCAUGGUUCUUUAUCUGAUUGAGUGGGUUGUGUUGAACUUGAUUAAAUUUGGUUAUUUGGAUAAGAUACGCGUUUUUGUUGAAGAAGGUUUUCGGGAUUCUGAGGGGCGUGCUUUGUUUGCUGUUUUCAUGGCUGCGGUUGGAGCUUUGAGAGCUGCUGAUAGGUCUGCGAUGAGUGGUGUGAAAUUGGAUGUUUUAGCGGGAAUGAGGGCUUCUGCUGUUGCUUGGAUUGAGGGUUUUGUUAGUGGUUUGGUUUCUAGGACGUUGAGGUUUAAUAACUUGGCCAGUGAUCCUGAAGACAGGCUUUUGCUUCGGUGUGUCUCGUUGGGAUUGGCUCGAACUGGAUCAUUCUCGGGCCAUUCCUCCUUGUUUGUUUGUCUUGCUUUGGCAUUGACGAGUGAAAUAUUGCCAUUGACACGUCUUUAUGAAUCGGAAAAUGAAAAUUCAGGUAGUUCGAGUGGACUGGAGGUUAAUGAGAUCAAAGAACAUCUGGAUAGUAUCUCGUUCAAGGAAGCAGGAGCCAUAACGGGGGUUUUCUGCAAUCAAUAUGUUUUAGCUGAUGAAGAAAAUAAGGCUAUGGUGGAGAAUCUUAUAUGGGAAUACUGUCGGGGUAUCUACUUUAGACACAGGCAAGUGGCCAUGAUUCUUAAAGGCAAGGGGGAUGAGAUGCUUGAGGGUCUGGAAAAAAUUGCAGAAUCUGCUUUCCUUAUGGUCGUGGUCUUUGCCUUAGCUGUAACAAAGCACAAGUUAAACCCCAAAUUUUCUCAAGAAGUACAGAUGGAAGUCUCGCUGAAGAUACUUGUUUCAUUUUCUUGCGUGGAAUAUUUUCGCCAUGUCCGCUUGCCAGAGUAUAUCGAAACCAUUCGCAAGGUGGUUGCAGGUGUUAAGAAUGAGCAUGCUUGUUCUUGUUUUGUGAACUCCAUGCCCUCUUAUGUUGACUUGACAAAUGGCCCAGACCAGAAAACCAAAUACUUAUGGUCCAAGGAUGAAGUGCAAACAGCUCGCAUUUUGUUUUAUCUGCGGGUCAUUCCGACUUUCAUUGAAUGUUUGCCCAGGCCUGUGUUCCGUGACAUGGUAGUUCCAACUAUGUUCUUAUAUAUGGAGCACCCAAAUGGAAAAGUAGCUCGAGCCUCUCAUUCUGUGUUCAUGGCAUUUAUGACUAUGGGGAAGGAAUCUGAAAAGAAUGAUAAAGUUUCAUUGAAGGAGCAGCUUGUUUUCCAUUACAUACAAAGAUCCUUAUUGAGAUAUCCUGGCAUUACUCCCUUCGAGGGUAUGGCUUCUGGGGUUGUAGGAAUGGUCCAACAUCUUCCUGCUGGAAGCCCUGCUAUUUUUUACUGCAUUCACAGUCUUGUUGAAAAAGCCAAUCAGCUCUGUUCUGAAGUAUUUGCUCAUGAGGCUGAUGCAUGGAAGAAGCGGCAAGGAGAACCAGAACCAAGCAAGAAAUUAAUGGACUUGCUCUUACGCUUAGUUUUCCUUGUUGAUAUACAAGUCUUGCCCGAUUUGAUGAAACUAUUGGCACAGCUGAUCACUAAGUUUCCACAAGAUGCUCAGAACAUUGUUCUCAAUGAGUUAUAUUCACAAGUGGCUGAUUCUGAUGAUGUUGUCCGCAAACCCACAUUGGUUUCAUGGCUGCAGUCAUUAUCUUACCUUUGCACAAAGACUACAAAUCAAAAUGCAGCUUACCACAAAAGUGAAAGUGAAGACAAUCUGACUUUGGCUGGUAUUGCAGAACCAUUAAACAGUGGAAGAGCAACUGCACGACUCUAAGAGAUUCAGGUUUCUCAAUCGACUUUUCAUAUCAUACUUGAGGAAGGAUUUUAUCAGCCUCUACAGCUGUUCAUUCUCAUCCUCCAUAGCUUCCCAACCAAGACCUGUAUUCAAUUCAGCCUCCAGAGCCGUGAGGACUAAUGUUGCUUACCAGAGUUCCUGAUUCAGAUGUCUGUAGCAAUUAAAAGAAGAUUUUGUAUGCUACUGAUGCAAAGAAUCAGCAUUAUAUUCAGGAUUUCCUUUACUGAACCUUGAAUCCUGUUGAAGCUGAAGCUGAAAGUGAAACCUGAUUACUCCCAAAAGUGAAGCAGAAAGUGGAGCCUGAUUACACCCAAAAGCCUUCUGUGAUGACGAGAUAGCGACUAAUCCUUCCCCAUGAUAUGGCCAUAUGAACUGUCAUAGUUGUAGCGGUGUGGUGCUCUUCUUUUCUUGUAAACUGGAUGGAUAAUCAGAGGAUAUUCUCACUGGUCUUUCCAGUAAACAGUGCUCUUCUCAUCUUCCUGUUCACCUCUUUCAAGAAGAGCUUUUCUGUUGAACUUGCCUUAAAUGGAUGUGGUGCUGCAAUUGUAUUUUGUAUGAUUGGAGCCUCUGCUGUAUAAAUUAGUUGUUAAGUCUUUCUGAAUACUUGGUGAUGUGAAACAAUUCUGAUUCAAAAUGACUUAAUUGCUGUGUCCAAUUUUGGUGUUAUAUGAUUAUGAAAUCAUCCUUAAUUGAAUUCUU